Molecule: ribosomal RNA, 528 nt
Filed under: Staphylococcus aureus
Lineage: Bacteria; Bacillati; Bacillota; Bacilli; Caryophanales; Staphylococcaceae
Description: partial 23S ribosomal RNA
Rfam family: Bacterial large subunit ribosomal RNA
Source: RNAcentral
UAAGGGCGCACGGUGGAUGCCUUGGCACUAGAAGCCGAUGAAGGACGUUACUAACGACGAUAUGCUUUGGGGAGCUGUAAGUAAGCUUUGAUCCAGAGAUUUCCGAAUGGGGAAACCCAGCAUGAGUUAUGUCAUGUUAUCGAUAUGUGAAUACAUAGCAUAUCAGAAGGCACACCCGGAGAACUGAAACAUCUUAGUACCCGGAGGAAGAGAAAGAAAAUUCGAUUCCCUUAGUAGCGGCGAGCGAAACGGGAAGAGCCCAAACCAACAAGCUUGCUUGUUGGGGUUGUAGGACACUCUAUACGGAGUUACAAAGGACGACAUUAGACGAAUCAUCUGGAAAGAUGAAUCAAAGAAGGUAAUAAUCCUGUAGUCGAAAAUGUUGUCUCUCUUGAGUGGAUCCUGAGUACGACGGAGCACGUGAAAUUCCGUCGGAAUCUGGGAGGACCAUCUCCUAAGGCUAAAUACUCUCUAGUGACCGAUAGUGAACCAGUACCGUGAGGGAAAGGUGAAAAGCACCCCGGAAGG